AACGAACGCUGGCGGCAUGCCUAACACAUGCAAGUCGAACGAGACCUUCGGGUCUAGUGGCGCACGGGUGCGUCACGCGUGGGAACCUGCCCUUAGGUUCGGAAUAACUCUCCGAAAGGGGUGCUAAUACCGGAUAAUGUCUUCGGACCAAAGAUUUAUCGCCUUUGGAUGGGCCCGCGUUGGAUUAGCUAGUUGGUAGGGUAAAAGCCUACCAAGGCGACGAUCCAUAGCUGGUCUGAGAGGAUGAUCAGCCACACUGGGACUGAGACACGGCCCAGACUCCUACGGGAGGCAGCAGUGGGUAAUAUUGGACAAUGGGCGAAAGCCUGAUCCAGCAAUGCCGCGUGAGUGAUGAAGGCCUGAGGGUUGUAAAGCUCUUUUACCCGGGAUGAUAAUGACAGUACCGGGAGAAUAAGCUCCGGCUAACUCCGUG
This 433-nucleotide ribosomal RNA is filed under the name uncultured bacterium. RNAcentral's name for it is "partial 16S ribosomal RNA". It matches the Rfam family "Bacterial small subunit ribosomal RNA", at positions 29 to 507 of the family's 1533-position model. The record is from RNAcentral.